GAGGGUAUGGUUGAUUGGAAAAAACACAGGACUUAAAAUCCUGGCCUUAGUGGCUGUGGUGGGUUCGAUUCCCCCUACCCUCA
Molecule: transfer RNA, 83 nt
Filed under: marine sediment metagenome
Description: tRNA-Leu
Rfam family: tRNA
About the family: Transfer RNA (tRNA) molecules are approximately 80 nucleotides in length. Their secondary structure includes four short double-helical elements and three loops (D, anti-codon, and T loops). Further hydrogen bonds mediate the characteristic L-shaped molecular structure. tRNAs have two regions of fundamental functional importance: the anti-codon, which is responsible for specific mRNA codon recognition, and the 3' end, to which the tRNAs corresponding amino acid is attached (by aminoacyl-tRNA synthetases). tRNAs cope with the degeneracy of the genetic code in two manners: having more than one tRNA (with a specific anti-codon) for a particular amino acid; and 'wobble' base-pairing, i.e. permitting non-standard base-pairing at the 3rd anti-codon position.
Source: RNAcentral